CGAGUCGUGCGUUCACGGAGUUUAACGGAGGGAGCCGCGACUGGAAGAGGCGCCGCAUCCGCGGCGGACGAGACAAGCCGGCGCCGCCCCGUCGAUCUGCGCCAGGCCACCGGCGCUGCUUCCUCCGUCCGCUCAAGCCGACGCGCUUCUGCCCCGACGCCCUGUCCGCGAGACGCCGCGGGCGCAGCAGCACCCCAUCGCGUCCACGCCACGCCACGGCUCCAGCACGCGCCACCACCCCGACGCAUCCACACUGAAGCCUGAUGAAGCUAACUUCGGCGGGAUCGAGCGCAAGCGGAACUGGAAGGAGUGAGUGCCCCUUUUGCCAUGUUCCAUUGGUCCGGAUUCAGAGCAAGCAGCCGGCGACAUUGGGCAAGUGGUUUCUCAAGUGCCCAUACAACAUCAAGGGUGAUCCCAGUACCUGUGGUUACAUUCGUCAAAUGUGAAAUUGGAAACACAAGAACAGGGAUUCAAGGCUAAGAUGGAAGAGGCAUCCUGUGAUUGUUGCUCUGAAUUGAAAGCUGAAUUGAUAGAGUUGAAGCAAACAGUUGAUAGUGUUGUAGCUGAAAUUUGGAAAAUGAAGGUGAAGCCUGCAGAGAGGAAUCCUGGGCAGAUUCAUGAGCCGAAGCCUGGGCCGAAGCAAAUUGUUAUCGAUUAUUCUAUUUUUGUGGGGUUUGUAGGUGUCCUCAUAGGUGUUGUGGUUGCCUGUAUGUGGAAGUGAACAGCUGUUGUAUGUAGCAACUUUGGAAUGUGGUGGUCGACCAAUGUGUUGUAAUGACAUCUACAUCCUAUGUAAUGAAGAUGUUUUAUGCAGAUCAGCCUGUGGCAUGAUUUUGACAGAA
Sorghum bicolor (sorghum) is the source of this 842-nucleotide long non-coding RNA. RefSeq lists it as uncharacterized. The record is from RefSeq and is a predicted model, not a curated record. The transcript is spliced from 2 exons. Lineage: Eukaryota; Viridiplantae; Streptophyta; Magnoliopsida; Poales; Poaceae.